Molecule: unclassified non-coding RNA, 26 nt
Filed under: Mus musculus (house mouse)
Lineage: Eukaryota; Metazoa; Chordata; Mammalia; Rodentia; Muridae
Description: oocyte_clustered_small_RNA1046
Source: RNAcentral
UCACAUCCAGCUGGCAUGACUCUUGG